UGGGGAAUAUUGGACGAUGGGCGCAAGCCUGAUCCAGCCAUGCCGCGUGAGUGAUGAAGGCCCUAGGGUUGUAAAGCUCUUUCACCGGUGAAGAUAAUGACGGUAACCGGAGAAGAAGCCCCGGCUAACUUCGUGCCAGCAGCCGCGGUAAUACGAAGGGGGCUAGCGUUGUUCGGAUUUACUGGGCGUAAAGCGCACGUAGGCGGACUUUUAAGUCAGGGGUGAAAUCCCGGGGCUCAACCCCGGAACUGCCUUUGAUACUGGAAGUCUUGAGUAUGGUAGAGGUGAGUGGAAUUCCGAGUGUAGAGGUGAAAUUCGUAGAUAUUCGGAGGAACACCAGUGGCGAAGGCGGCUCACUGGACCAUUACUGACGCUGAGGUGCGAAAGCGUGGGGAGCAAACAGG
Molecule: ribosomal RNA, 404 nt
Filed under: Pseudomonas sp.
Lineage: Bacteria; Pseudomonadati; Pseudomonadota; Gammaproteobacteria; Pseudomonadales; Pseudomonadaceae
Also listed under: 3 other names
Description: partial 16S ribosomal RNA
Rfam family: Bacterial small subunit ribosomal RNA
Source: RNAcentral